ACAAUAUUUCCUUUUAAGAAUCCAUUCCUUUUUUGGCUUACACCAUAUAUUUCGGUGUUUAUCUUACACUUUUUUUGGUAGAAUCCUUUCUAGUGAUGAUACUAAUAAUUCUACAUGUCUUACAUAUGGUGAGAGUCGUAUUUGGUAGUUGAACUCAAUUAUUGGUGGUAAAGAAAAAUGAUCAUGGGACAAUGCUACGAAACGAGCACUAUUUGAAUGACAUAGCUUCAUUAUC
RNAcentral lists this long non-coding RNA (235 nucleotides) under Nicotiana benthamiana. Its description in RNAcentral is "long non-coding RNA (NBEN_LNC025250)". Lineage: Eukaryota; Viridiplantae; Streptophyta; Magnoliopsida; Solanales; Solanaceae. The record is from RNAcentral.